AAUAGAUACCCUGGUAGUCCACCCCGUAAACGCUGGGAACUAGUUGUGGGGUCCUUUCCACGGAUUCCGUGACGCAGCUAACGCAUUAAGUUCCCCGCCUGGGGAGUACGGCCGCAAGGCUAAAACUCAAAGGAAUUGACGGGGACCCGCACAAGCGGCGGAGCAUGCGGAUUAAUUCGAUGCAACGCGAAGAACCUUACCAAGGCUUGACAUACACCAGAACACCCUAGAAAUAGGGGACUCUUUGGACACUGGUGAACAGGUGGUGCAUGGUUGUCGUCAGCUCGUGUCGUGAGAUGUUGGGUUAAGUCCCGCAACGAGCGCAACCCUCGUUCUAUGUUGCCAGCACGUAAUGGUGGGAACUCAUGGGAUACUGCCGGGGUCAACUCGGAGGAAGGUGGGGAUGACGUCAAAUCAUCAUGCCCCUUAUGUCUUGGGCUUCACGCAUGCUACAAUGGCCGGUACAAAGGGCUGCAAUACCGUGAGGUGGAGCGAAUCCCAAAAAGCCGGUCCCAGUUCGGAUUGAGGUCUGCAACUCGACCUC
RNAcentral lists this ribosomal RNA (544 nucleotides) under uncultured bacterium. RNAcentral's name for it is "bacterial SSU rRNA". It matches the Rfam family "Bacterial small subunit ribosomal RNA", at positions 777 to 1319 of the family's 1533-position model. The record is from RNAcentral.